Molecule: ribosomal RNA, 463 nt
Filed under: uncultured bacterium
Lineage: Bacteria
Description: bacterial SSU rRNA
Rfam family: Bacterial small subunit ribosomal RNA
Source: RNAcentral
AUACGGGAGGCAGCAGUGAGGAAUUUUGGACAAUGGGCGCAAGCCUGAUCCAGCCAUGCCGCGUGUGGGAAGAGGGCCUUCGGGUUGUAAACCACUUUUGUCAGGGAAGAAACGGCUCUUACUAAUAUUGGGAGCUAAUGACGGUACCUGAAGAAUAAGCACCGGCUAACUACGUGCCAGCAGCCGCGGUAAUACGUAGGGUGCAAGCGUUAAUCGGAAUUACUGGGCGUAAAGCGUGCGCAGGCGGCUUUGCAAGACAGAUGUGAAAUCCCCGGGCUCAACCUGGGAACUGCAUUUGUGACUGCAAGGCUAGAGUACGGUAGAGGGGGAUGGAAUCCCGCGUGUAGCAGUGAAAUGCGUAGAUAUGCGGAGGAACACCGAUGGCGAAGGCAAUCCCCUGGACCUGUACUGACGCUCAUGCACGAAAGCGUGGGGAGCAAACAGGAUUAGAUACCCUGGUAGC